GUUGAAACACAGGUUCUCGUACGAUCACCGAAGUUAAGCAAUGUCUAGUGUGCCCAGUAUCGAAAUGGGUGACCACUUGGGAAUACCAGGUGUUGUAAG
This is a non-coding RNA of Acanthosepion pharaonis, 99 nucleotides long. NCBI's taxonomy places the organism in Eukaryota, Metazoa, Mollusca, Cephalopoda, Sepiida, Sepiidae. The record is from the annotation of a GenBank genome assembly.